RNAcentral lists this non-coding RNA (22 nucleotides) under Arabidopsis thaliana (thale cress). The record is from RNAcentral. Lineage: Eukaryota; Viridiplantae; Streptophyta; Magnoliopsida; Brassicales; Brassicaceae.
UAUAUUUUGCAGGUGUCACUCA